CCUACGGGAGGCAGCAGUGAGGAAUCUUCCACAAUGGGCGAAAGCCUGAUGGAGCAACGCCGCGUGCAGGAUGAAGGCCCUAGGGUUGUAAACUGCUUUUAUAAGUGAAGAAUAUGACGGUAACUUAUGAAUAAGCACCGGCUAACUACGUGCCAGCAGCCGCGGUAAU
Molecule: ribosomal RNA, 169 nt
Filed under: uncultured bacterium
Lineage: Bacteria
Description: partial 16S ribosomal RNA
Rfam family: Bacterial small subunit ribosomal RNA
Source: RNAcentral